RNAcentral lists this ribosomal RNA (343 nucleotides) under Pontodrilus bermudensis. Its description in RNAcentral is "partial 12S ribosomal RNA". It matches the Rfam family "Bacterial small subunit ribosomal RNA", at positions 878 to 1393 of the family's 1533-position model. Lineage: Eukaryota; Metazoa; Annelida; Clitellata; Crassiclitellata; Megascolecidae. The record is from RNAcentral.
UAUUACGAACAACAGUUUAAAAUUCAAAGAUCUUGGCGGUGUCUUAUAAAACCAGGGGAACCUGUCUCAUAACUCGAUAGUCCACGACUACCCAACCUUCUUUUGAGAUUCAGUCUGUAUACUGCCGUUGCAAGCAUACCUUUAAAAGAAUUAGUAUGCCACAACGAUUAAUAUUUAAUCUCAUACACAUCAGGUCAUAGUGCAGCUAAUAAGAAGGAGAUGAUGGGUUACAACUCCCAAAAGGAUUGGAUUAAAAAAUAAAAAAUUUUAAAAAACUGGACUUGGUUGUAAUUAUAAAGUACAAUAAUGUAAUGAAAUUUAAUCUAAGACAUGCACAUAUCGC